AUUGGAGUUCGAUUAAGCCAUGCGAGUCGAGAGUCUUAGGGACUCGGCGUACCGCUCAGUAACACGUGGGUAACCUGCCCUAUGCUGGGGAAUAACCUCGGGAAACUGAGAAUAAUACCCCAUAGUCCACCAUGCCUGGAACGGUUGGUGGAUCAAAGCUCCGGCGGCAUAGGAUGGGCCUGCGGCGUAUCAGGUUGUAGGGGGUGUAACGUACCCUCUAGCCAUCAACGCGUACGGGUGUUGGGAGACAUAGCCCGGAGAUGGAUUCUGAGACACGAAUCCAGACCCUACGGGGUGCAGCAGGCGCGAAAACUUGGCAAUGCGAGAAAUCGUGACCAGGGAACUCCAAGUGGCUGGGGUAAGACCCAGUCUUUUCUUGACUCUUAAACGGUCUUGGAAUAAGGGGUGGGUAAGGACGGUGCCAGCCGCCGCGGUAAUACCGGCGCCUCAAGUGGUAGUCGAUUUUAUUGGGCCUAAAACGUCCGUAGCCUGUUUGGUACAUUCGUGGGUAAAUCAACCAGCUUAACUGAUUGAAUUCUGCGAGCACGGCCAGACUUGGGACCGGGAGAGGUGUGGGGUACGCUCAGGGUAGGGGUAAAAUCCUGUCAUCCUGAGCGGACCACCUGUUGCGAAGGCGCCACACUAGAACGGAUCCGACGGUCAGGGACGAAGCCUAGGGGCACGAACCGGAUUAGAUACCCGGGUAGUCCUAGGUGUAAACGCUGU
RNAcentral lists this ribosomal RNA (726 nucleotides) under uncultured euryarchaeote AM-20A_122. RNAcentral's name for it is "bacterial SSU rRNA". It matches the Rfam family "Archaeal small subunit ribosomal RNA", at positions 32 to 763 of the family's 1478-position model. The record is from RNAcentral. Lineage: Archaea; Methanobacteriati; Methanobacteriota.